RNAcentral lists this unclassified non-coding RNA (337 nucleotides) under soil metagenome. RNAcentral's name for it is "partial contains 5.8S ribosomal RNA, internal transcribed spacer 2, and large subunit ribosomal RNA". The stretch from base 1 to 120 matches the Rfam family "5.8S ribosomal RNA", at positions 35 to 154 of the family's 154-position model. The record is from RNAcentral.
GAUGAAGAACGUAGCGAAAUGCGAUAAGUAGUGUGAAUUGCAGAAUUCAGUGAAUCAUCGAAUCUUUGAACGCACAUUGCGCCCCAUGGUAUUCCGUGGGGCAUGCCUGUUCGAGCGUCAUUUACCCCCUCAAGCUCCGCUUGGUGUUGGGCGUCUGUCCCGCUUCGCGCGCGGACUCGCCCCAAAGGUAUUGGCAGCGGUCGUGCCAGCUUCUCGCGCAGCACAUUGCGCUUCUCGAGGCACCGGUGGGCCCGCGUCCAUCAAGCUCACCCACCCAGUUUGACCUCGGAUCAGGUAGGGAUACACGCUGAACUUAAGCAUAUCAAUAAGCGGAGGA